UAAAAAGCAGGGGUCUGUUGCCUAUGUGAACAGGCCUCUCGUAAAUGUCAGGGAAAUCAAGUUUCAUCGUUAUUGGGUGAACCUCCGUUUGUUGUUUGUGGCUGAAGGUUCAGUAAAUGAUGGAACAUUU
Quercus lobata is the source of this 130-nucleotide small nucleolar RNA. RefSeq annotates it as small nucleolar RNA snoR74. The transcript has a single exon. NCBI's taxonomy places the organism in Eukaryota, Viridiplantae, Streptophyta, Magnoliopsida, Fagales, Fagaceae. The record is from RefSeq and is a predicted model, not a curated record.